GAAAACGUAGAAAAGCCUCCAGUUUUGACCCAAAACUUCCGACGUUCGUUCCAACGAUCUCGGCCACCAUUUUCAUUGAUCUAGGUACUCCGACCCAGCGUACACAACAGGCGGGACCCUCUCAGGGUCAAGUGGCGUGGGACUAUCUUAGAAAGUCUUGAACCGAGCGGGCGUAUCAAGUCGUGAACUCCCAGCCUGAGCUUGUGUAGGGCAAACUUCUUAUUAUUUCUAUUCCGUUGAACUUCAUUUAUGUUUGUAACUGAAUUUCGUAGAUAUGCUCUAUUAUCGCCCAUGUUAGGGUUGAUUGUAAGGCCUCUGGUGUUUAUAAUUGUGUUUUUAACAGGUUAAAAUUUUUGGAAAAUGUCCAUUUUUAGGGGAGACUCUGCCGA
Molecule: non-coding RNA, 389 nt
Organism: Prunus avium (sweet cherry)
Lineage: Eukaryota; Viridiplantae; Streptophyta; Magnoliopsida; Rosales; Rosaceae
Source: RefSeq, a predicted model, not a curated record